AGUGGCUAUGGCGGGAGCACUUUAAAACCCAAGUACCCUCCACUAGCGCUCUUUUCCUGCGCCUGCUCCCGCCCGAAGAUCUGCACUCGGUGUGCGAGCGCGCAGUGUGCGUUACAUUCUGGAAUUUGUGGUUUCGUUGGUCCUCAGAUGUGAUGACACUUUCUUAGUAUUGUGUCGAGGAGCUCGGCGCAAGGGUUUCCGCAUUCCUUGCAAUUGCCACGCAUUGAGAUGUAGUCAAUCACGCGAGAUUGUUGUGCUUGGAUUACGCUCGCGGUGAGUGGCACGAGAGUCUAGGGUUUCGAUGAGGUUUCCUGUUGGAUGCUGGACGUUGUGACUUGGUCGCGGAGAGCGUUGUGUUGCAGCGUUGGUAGAAGCAAUGCUCUAGGGUGUGUACCUGAAAUAUUUUGUUGAUUCCUCUUUCUUUUCUCUGUUUUUCUUUUUGUCUUUUUUCUUGUUUUGGCUUUCCUGUAUGCAAGUCCGUUUUUCUACUCUGUGCGUACAGAUUUAUUCGUUACGGAUCGAUAGUGUCUUGAACUUGAGCAGUGAAAGGGGUUUGUGCUUGCAGUUUUCAUGUGUUUCUUUUUCCGUGGUAGCAAAGUUUAUUGGUUUUCUGCGCAGGGGCUACGUUUCAAUACUGCUUGAAUGCAAAGGACUUCGCAAUUUGUAGCUCAAUCAGGGUUUGGUCGCUGGGCUACAGAGGACUGGCUGUGGCCGGACUAGAGAUCGUAUAUGUCGGCUCCGAGGAAAUAUCAUUACAUUGACAAGGGCAAGGUGGAGUGCUUAGUAAUUUCUGAUGAAGUAUCAGCAUGUGUACCAUGUGGUGGAUCAUCAUGGUUUAAACUUUAUUUUACGGAAUGACUUAUAGAGGUUCUUAUAGCACCGCACGGCGCGCGUGCGUGAAGGCGCGUUUCGGGUUCUAGCGUUGAUGCGAACGAGGGAGUUUCAGCGUAUUGAAUGCUGUGCUAUUUAUCCGAAGAUACUGGAGCUGCAGGUUGACAUCUGACGGAAUCUUAAGGAACUGCUGCAGGCAUUUGCCGUUUCACACCUUAUUUUCCCAGAGUUGAAUAUACGUGACGGAGUGAUCAAUAUUUGAUUCUGGAUUAGAUAGCUUCACGCGGACAUGGCGAUGGUGACUGAACCAGCUACGCGGAAGCGGGUGAUUAGCAUGCCGCAGUCAGAGAGAAAUCCCUCUUGGAUGAAUAGUCCGUUUGUUCCCUUUACUCCUUUUGGGUUGGCCAAUAGGUCCGAGAUCACUCCUCCUUUUGAGAAAAGACUAAGAAUUGUAGAAAGACCUGUAUCCACCUUCAAGUGGGAACCGGAUCUGCCUGGGACUCUGCAGUUUUCGGCUGGAAGUGGUUACAAGGAUAUUGAAGUGAAAACACCGUUGCCUGCAGCUUGGCAGUGGCGUCCAUCACAAAGAGUAUCUCAGGAUUUGUUCACCCCUCCUGCUGUCAAACAUUCAGGAGAGAAGUACGAGCUUGUUAAAAAAGAACUGAAAGAGCGUAAUUCGUGGUUCGCAAAACUUGAUCGCUCGAUAGGGUUAGCUGAAAAUGCCCUUGAUAUGGUAGGAAGUCCAGCUAUGGGUCUAAAACUCACUUUAGCACCCACUGAAUCAUACUAUCAGAAAUAUGUAAACGUAAAACGCGAGUUGGAGGAUUAUAAACGUGUGGUGCAGACCGUGAACUCUUUUAUUCCUCUUAGCUCCAGUAGCAAUAGCGCACCAUUUUCACCUUUGAAAAAUAUCAGACUACGAGGGAGCAAUUUAAAACAGGGCCCAAGGAAUCUGUACAAUAUGCAAAGAGAGGUUGCUGGUGAGCCCGGAUGGAGUGGAAGUUUUUUGAAUCAUGGCAUGCCGAAUGGAGUUCUGCACAGAACCCUUACAGACGAUGAGGCUGAACCUGGUAAAGUCGUUUCUCCACAUUCUAGUGCCCAACUUACAUCUGAAUCAGGUGCACUGCAAGACCAGAGUGAAGUCCAUGUGUCGAGGGAUGAUAGUAAAGCGGAGCUUUGGCGAGCACUCUAUGAUAGAACUCAAGAUCCUGCAAAGCAAGCUCAAAGGGAGUCACGAGAAAAGGACAUAGAAGAUCUCCAGGAUUUAUAUGCACGAUUACAAUUGAAUCGAGAAGAGGAUAGCAUAAGACGACAACAAGAGCGUAAAGCAAGUAAAAAGGAAGAGGUGGGCGAAGCUUUUAUUCCGUUGCCCAUUGAUGCCGAAGAGGCUGUGGAGGAUGCUUUGUAUAACGGCAACAGGCAUGAGUUACUUAUACUUCAUGAAGAGACAAACAUCGAGGUGACGAGAGCCAUCAUACAGUGUUUGGUACCGGGUGCAUGGCUUAACGAUGAAGUUAUCAAUGUUUAUAUGCAGCUUCUGAAAGAAAGGGAGAGUCGCAAUCCAGACAAGUUUUUGAGAUGUCAUUUUUUCAACACUUUUUUUUACAACAAGCUUUUCAAGGACAAACGUAGUUAUGAUUAUAAAUCAGUUCGAAGAUGGACCACACAAAAGAAAAUUGGUUACAGCCUUGCAGAUUGUGAUAAAAUUCUUGUCCCAAUUCAUCAAGACAUUCACUGGUGCUUGGCAGUCAUCAAUAUACGGGAUCAGAAGUUUGAAUAUUUAGACUCAUUGAAAGGUCGCGAUGAGACUGUUCUUAAAGUACUUGCAAAAUAUUUAGUAGACGAGGUGAAGGAUAAGAACAACCGUACUCUGGACGUAAGCAAAUGGGAAAGCGAUUUUCCGCAGGAUAUUCCGGAACAACUGAACGGUUGUGACUGCGGAAUGUUCAUGCUGAAAUAUGCUGACUUUCAUGGCCGGGGAGCUCCAUUAUCUUUCACUCAGGAACAUAUGGAAUAUUUUCGGAGGAGGACAGUUUAUGAAAUAUUACAGAAUGAGGCAACAUGACGGGCUAGGAGAGUGUAAUAGCUUCGUGCAAAAUGACCUCAAGUUCCUGCGCUUAGAUGAUAUUCUGAUGCAAAGACCUUGCCUAGCGGGGAUGACAAGCUUUCGAAGGAUGGAGGUAGAAUGGUUGGGAUACAUUGUGUUAAGUACCUGCAUGUCAUGUACAAAAAAGUAUACCAUGUCAUCAUCCUUCAAUUGUCGACUGUAGACCAAAACAUCUGAAUGCAACGUCUGAAGCAUCUCUGAAUCUGUACACCCUUCAGAGUUUUUUCGUACGAGAUUUUCCUCCAGAACGCUCAGCGUCUGUUCUAGAAAGACGCCUCUUGUGAGGCCAUUCAUCAAACUUGGUUUCAUUUACAAAGUAUUUUUGAAUUGAAUGCAUACUCGUGGGUUUUGAACAGUAGUAAGCUUAUGAGUUGUGUAAUAUGCCGCUCAUAUGCAGGAACAUUAAUCAAAAAUUGCAUUUUUUAUUUUUA
Molecule: RNA transcript, 3369 nt
Organism: Physcomitrium patens
Lineage: Eukaryota; Viridiplantae; Streptophyta; Bryopsida; Funariales; Funariaceae
Source: RefSeq, a predicted model, not a curated record